CGGGGACGGGUGAGUAUGUCGUAGGGAAACCGCCUGAUGGGGAGGGGAAUACACUGGAAACGGUAGCUAAUACCGCAUAACGUCGCAAGACCAAAGAGGGGGACCUUCGGGCCUCUUGCCAUCGGAUGUGCCCAGAUGGGAUUAGCUAGUAGGUGGGGUAACGGCUCACCUAGGCGACGAUCCCUAGCUGGUCUGAGAGGAUGACCAGCCACACUGGAACUGAGACACGGUCCAG
This 235-nucleotide ribosomal RNA is filed under the name uncultured bacterium. RNAcentral's name for it is "partial 16S ribosomal RNA". It matches the Rfam family "Bacterial small subunit ribosomal RNA", at positions 100 to 334 of the family's 1533-position model. The record is from RNAcentral.